This 308-nucleotide ribosomal RNA is filed under the name uncultured eukaryote. RNAcentral's name for it is "partial Bacterial small subunit ribosomal RNA". It matches the Rfam family "Bacterial small subunit ribosomal RNA", at positions 1201 to 1532 of the family's 1533-position model. The record is from RNAcentral.
CUUACGGGUUGGGCUACACACGUGCUACAAUGGUGGUGACAGUGGGUUAAUCCCCAAAAGCCAUCUCAGUUCGGAUUGGGGUCUGCAACUCGACCCCAUGAAGUUGGAAUCGCUAGUAAUCGCGUAACAGCACGACGCGGUGAAUACGUUCCCGGGCCUUGUACACACCGCCCGUCACACCAUGGGAGUCUAUUGCACCAGAAGUAGGUAGCCUAACGAAAGAGGGCGCUUACCACGGUGUGGUCGAUGACUGGGGUGAAGUCGUAACAAGGUAGCCGUAGGGGAACCUGCGGCUGGAUCACCUCCUU